RNAcentral lists this microRNA (23 nucleotides) under Gallus gallus (chicken). RNAcentral's name for it is "gga-miR-6690-5p". Lineage: Eukaryota; Metazoa; Chordata; Aves; Galliformes; Phasianidae. The record is from miRBase by way of RNAcentral.
UCAGAAGGGGAUGGCUUUGGCUC